This 74-nucleotide transfer RNA is filed under the name Alphaproteobacteria bacterium. RNAcentral describes it as "tRNA-Trp". It matches the Rfam family "tRNA". From Rfam's summary of the family: Transfer RNA (tRNA) molecules are approximately 80 nucleotides in length. Their secondary structure includes four short double-helical elements and three loops (D, anti-codon, and T loops). The record is from RNAcentral. RNAcentral also lists the same sequence under 1 other name. Lineage: Bacteria; Pseudomonadati; Pseudomonadota; Alphaproteobacteria.
GCGUCCCUGGUGUAACGGCAGCACUCGGAGCUCCAACCUCCGCAGUCAGGGUUCAAAUCCUUGGGGGCGUGCCA